UUUUUUUUCCAAGACGCAAUUGCGUCACUACGCAGCACGUGCGCGCGCGCAUGCGCCAUAGCCACUAAUGGACUCUAUUUAAGCCCAUUGCAGACACUAUUGUCUCUGACUGUCAUGGCGUCUGCUGGACUUAUGGAGACUUCUCACAUGCAGGUAGGACCACUGGUUGUUGAUGUUUGGCUUAUUGUUUGUUUUUGGUGCUGUGCCUUUAUGCACACUUCACCAGACUAGCCAUACAUAUUAUUUAUAUAUACUCCUAAAUUCCUUUUUCCAGUGAUCUCUGCCUGCGAUCACCCAGCAAUCCACCCUUCCUGAAACAUAGGAUAAUCUGGGUAGUUUGUCUCCUUGUGGCUGAACUUUUGUUCUCUGGCACAUGCAUACCCUCUCCUAUAUGGAUUCCCAUAUCUGGCGUGGACCUUUUUGGUAGGCUAUGAUUGUAUAUCCUCCCCGUGAACACAGAGACAUUGAUCUCCAUAUACAGCAUUUUCCCCUUGUUUUUGGCGUACUUUCACACUGAGACAGGACUCUAUCUACAGAUCUUAUUGACUACAUGUAUUUCUCUGACACAAUGAUCGUCUGUAAUACCCCUUGAAGAAGGAUCACAGAUACCGAAACGGCUGUCGGGUUGGACCAAUUUUUGUCUCAUGUCUGUUUUAUUGCUUUACAAAUAGGAUCUGUAUACCACUUGCAUGUGGUUUUUUAUCCUUGCUAGGACACUGUACGAUGUCCUUACUUAAAUUGUUUAAAUAAAUUUGCUAUAUAUUUUUCUACUCA
Rana temporaria (common frog) is the source of this 774-nucleotide long non-coding RNA. RefSeq lists it as uncharacterized. The transcript has 3 exons. The record is from RefSeq and is a predicted model, not a curated record. Lineage: Eukaryota; Metazoa; Chordata; Amphibia; Anura; Ranidae.